UGGUUCUGGCAUCGAUGAAGAACGCAGCGAAAUGCGAUAAGUAAUGUGAAUUGCAGAAUUCAGUGAAUCAUCGAAUCUUUGAACGCACAUUGCGCCCUUUGGCAUUCCGAGGGGCAUGCCCGUUCGAGCGUCAUUAAAUCCACUCAAGCCUGGCUUGGUAUUGGGCGUCGGGGACUCCCCGCGCCUCGAUUUCGCCGGCUGGCCGUCGUUUGACUUAGCGUUGUGACACAUGUCGCUAACGACGAAGACGGACCACGCCGUUAAACCCCCUUGAAUGCCGACAGGCGUUCAGUAAAGGUUGACCUCGGAUCGGGUAGGAAUACCCGCUGA
This 330-nucleotide unclassified non-coding RNA is filed under the name uncultured fungus. RNAcentral describes it as "partial contains 5.8S ribosomal RNA and internal transcribed spacer 2". The stretch from base 1 to 133 matches the Rfam family "5.8S ribosomal RNA", at positions 22 to 154 of the family's 154-position model. The record is from RNAcentral. Lineage: Eukaryota; Fungi.